UUUCCGUAGGUGAACCUGCGGAAGGAUCAUUAAAAAUAUCGCUCGAUUGAGAGUGAUUUAAUAAUCAUCCUACCCUUUGUGAAUUUGUUGUUUGUAAUAAUUUUUUUUUGAUUUUAAAAAAAAAUUAUUUAUGGUUUUGUCUAUCCCUAAAAUUGGUUUGUUGUGAAAUGAAUCAAAUUUAGGGAAUAGGCUUUCAUAAAUAAGUUUUUUUUUAAAGUCUUAAAGACCUUUUUUUAAAAAUUAAACUUUUGUAUUCAUUUGUCUAAAUUUUUUUUAAAUAAUUUAAAAACAACUUUUGACAAUGGAUCUCUUGGUUCUCGCAACGAUGAAGAACGCAGCAAAAUGCGAUAAGUAAUGUGAAUUGCAGAAUACGUGAAUCAUCAAAUCUUCGAACGCAUAUUGCACUUUUUUUAGUUUUACUAAAAAAAGUAUGUCUGUUUGAGUAUCAGUAAAAUAUUCUCAUAAAAACAUUUUUGUUUUUAUGGUUAUGAGUGUUUUACAACGAUAAACAAGUUGUUUCACUUUAAAUUCAUUUUAAUUUAAGACCAUUUAUGGCUUUAAUAAUAAAAUUGGAUAAAAUUUUCCCGUAAAAAGGAAUAAACUUUUCAGUUUUUAUUAGAGAACCAUCGGUCCGAUUUAAAAGGAAAUUUAUAUUUAAAUAACUUGAUCUCAAAUCAGAUAAGAGUACCCGCUGAACUUAAGCAUAUCAAUAAGCGGAGGAAAAGAAACUAACAAGGAUUCCUUAGUAACGGCGAGUGAAGCGGGAAGAGCUCAAAUUUGAAAUCUUCAAGGUUCUACCUUGACGAAUUGGUAGUUUAAAGAAGUGUUUUCUGUUAGAUGAGUAGCAAAAGUUCCUUGGAAUGGGACAUCAUAGAGGGUGAGAAUCCCGUAUUUGGUUAUUCAUUCUAGCUUUGUGAUACACUUUCAAAGAGUCGGAUUGUUUGGGAAUGCAGUCCAAAAUGGGUGGUAAGUUUCAUCUAAAGCUAAAUAUUGGCGAGAGACCGAUAGCGAACAAGUACCGUGAGGGAAAGAUGAAAAGAACUUUGAAAAGGGAGUUAAACAGUACGUGAAAUUGUCAAAAGGGAAGCGUUUGACACCAGUGUUGUUUUCCCGAAAAUCAAUUACGAGUGGCUUGAUUUUGUGUUGUAUUGACCUUAUCAGCUUUCUUCACUUUUUUCGAGUCUUUCUUAAUGCACUUUUCGGUUAACAAGUCAACAUCAAUUUCUUUUGUUGUAAAAGAGUAUUCGGAAGGUGGCUUUCUUUUCGGAGAAAGUGUUUAUAGCCCUAUACUUCUACAAUCGGAGAGAUUGAGGUCUGCAGCGUAGAUCCUUCGGGGUUAGAUACAUUUGUGCUAAGUUGUAGCUUUUCAUAGACAACUUGUUGACUAUGUUUAGUCAUGCGGCUUACUCGCUUGUGCUAUUU
Molecule: unclassified non-coding RNA, 1422 nt
Filed under: uncultured Neocallimastigales
Lineage: Eukaryota; Fungi; Neocallimastigomycota; Neocallimastigomycetes; Neocallimastigales
Description: partial contains small subunit ribosomal RNA, internal transcribed spacer 1, 5.8S ribosomal RNA, internal transcribed spacer 2, and large subunit ribosomal RNA
Rfam family: Eukaryotic large subunit ribosomal RNA (bases 665-1422)
Source: RNAcentral